AUCGUUCUAGGCCGGGGAUUAGGAGGGAUUGCUAAACACUUGAAAACUGACUUAAAAACAUAAAAACAAAAUUUAAAACACUAAACUAGACUCAAAGAAUGCAAAACUAUACUUUAAAAUACUUAAACAAACAUAAAACUCAAAACAGCAACCUAAUGACUCAAAACUGCCUAAAAACCACUUUCUGGGCAGUUUUGAGAACCUAACAAGAACUUGGACGAAGUUGGAUGAAAACUUGAAUCAAAACACUUAGAAACACAAAUCAAAAUACUUUCUAACUAAUCUAAGACUUCAAAAUAAAGGGGGAUUUGUUUUGGACGAAAAUUGAAAACAAAACAGAAACUUUAAAACAAAACAGAUUGUAAAACGUUUUUGGAUGAAAAGGAUGGAUAAAAGGCUAGUUAGGAGGUUCUUCUCCACACAUGACACACUUGCAAACAAAAUGAUUUUCAGUUGUUCUUUCAAUAAAUUAUGAAACUCAACACCCCAAGUUAAUUAGAUACGCUUAAAUUAACCUUCAAGUUCUCCUUCAGUUAAUGAAUUGGAUGGAAAAGCGCAUACAACAAUUCAAAGCAUUCCUCAAAGGUUCCUUACGUGAUGAGCACAAUAAAGAUACAAUCAAGAAUCAUGAAGCACAAUGAGAACUAUAAGUGUUGACGAGGCAUUCGUUACUAUGAUGAGCAUGAAACUAGUGCCAAGAAUUCAUUCAACGCGAUCGUUUUCAAAGCGACCUUCACUACUUGUGAUUAUAAGAUUGUAACUAUUAGGUGAAACUCCCUCAUAAUCUAGCAUCAUAUUCAUGCAUGAAAACUAAGCGUGCACUCUCAAUCAACAUACACAAAUAAGUUAUCAAUCAAGUAGAUGAACGAAUUGAAUCCGCAACUUAUGAAAUAACAACUGAAUGUAAUCAAAUCAUAUUGCAAAACAUGUACAUGGUUUCGAAUCACCCCCCAACUAAGGGGGUUUAGUUCCUCAUUCUUGCAAUACAAAGAUACAUAAAAUUAGACAUUAAAAUCAAAGGAAAUAAAACACCUAAAAUGCUCCAACUUGGAAAGCAAGUGCAUCAAUGGAUCUCCCUUCCUCCUUGUUGCGACAUGAAGCUUGUGGACAGAUUUUUGGGUGGAUUUAUGGUGUAGAAUGGAUGGGGAAUGAUAUGGAGGGGUUUAGGGUGAGUGUGGAAGAGUGUUUGAUGGUUGGAAGGUGGUGGAGAACUAGGCAAAGAGGGUGGAAGAAGGUGGAGUGGCUGUUAUGUUUUCUAGGCACUAGAAUGGUGUUUUUUUGGGGUGUUUUGCUUCCUAGGGUGUGUAUGGACGAAUUUCUGUGAUAAAAUGAUGAAUAUGGGGGAUUGUUCUUUGGCCAAGGGGUGUAAACAUGUAUUUAUAGGCCCCAAAAACCUUAGAAAAUCAGGUUAGGUUAAGGAUGAAAUGCAUGGCAAUUUGUGUGUGUGGUGUGCAAUGGUCCAAGGGUGAAAAUGAAGUGAUGAUACAAAGUGUGAAGGGUAAAAUGGAGUGGUCUUGAAGCUAGGGAGCAUGAAUGAUUGUGUACAUUGCAUAGAGAUGGAAAGGGAGGUGAAAAUGUGUCAAUAAAUGGGUCAAAGGUGCAGCAACAUGUGGUACACAAGGCAUGGGAUUCCAAAUGUGAAUGAUGGAGCAUCAAUUGGUGCAUGUAAUGGAUGUAAAUGUUGUCUAAAAUCUAAUGAGUGAAGGGAACAAGAGGUAUCAAGCAAUUGAGUGUAAUAAUUAAAUGAAUUGAAGCAUGAAAUUAGAAAUUAUGUAGGGGACAAGAGUGAUCAAGCAUGGCAUGGAAUCCAAAGGGAAUUCUAUGUGGUUUGCAUGGCAAGGAAUGCAAGUUGGGGUGACAGAUUUUUGGGCUGUUUUCUUCAUCUUUUGGACCAUAAUUCUUCAUAUUCUUGGCCUCUUUAGUUCUCAAAUUCGUCCAUCCACUUGGCCCAUGCAUUUGCUAUCCAUUCCAAGCCCGAAACAUGCUCCAAAGGCCUCCAAAAUGUAUCUUCUUGCAUACUUUGUACUUAGAGUCUUUCACUUUGCAUGUGGGCUUCUUUGCAUGUGUAUGAGUUGUCAUUGUUUAUCCUUGCAAUUACACACACACACUUGCACACACAUAUGCCCAAAACGUCCAUCCUCAUGCAUGCAAUCCAUUUGAGCCCAAUAUUGAUCCAACAUGCACCAAAAUGCACUUUUCUUGCCAAUGUUGUUAUUAAGACCUACAAACAAAUGAAAAUGGCUUUAAACACUAAAAUAACUAAAGAAACACAACGUAAACGCACAAGAACAAGCCAAUUAAGUCGAAUAAAUAUGCUCCUAUCAAAUUCCCCCACACUUAGCUUUUGCUAGUCCUCGAGCAAAACAAAGAAAUAAAACGAAACAAAACAAAUAAAACACAACCUAAACCUUCCAACAUUUGCCUCAGGGAUUUCCAAUGCACAUGACAUGUUAAAAAUCAUUAUCCCCACAGAUUUGAGUCAUCUUUACUUAAGCACAUACUUAAUCAUAGUCACCACUUACUAGUUCACAAUUAAUCAAUUAAAACAAUGUUUUUGAUGUAGUAACAUGCCUUUGAGAAUUCGCUCAAUUCCUUACAAGAUAUGCACUCAAUUUUCACUCAGAUUUUCCAACUACACACCCUAUACUAGUUAUAUGUGAGAAGAUUGAUGUAGAUAUGAAAAUGAAUGCUCACAUAUAUGUAUCACAAAGAAAGCAAUUUAUGAAGUUAAUACGCAUGUUUAGAUAUGAUCUCAUGAAUGGAAUGCUAUUACUUAGACGCGAGAACCAGUGACACCAUAUGCUCAUACCAAAUUCAAACUCCACAAAUUGAAACACAUAACACUCAAGAUUGAAGUCAAAGGUUGUAACGGGCUUGGGGUGUUGGCUAACAAAUGAAGGAUAGGGAUAACAAACGUUCUUAAAGCAAUAGCAAGAAAAGUAAUGAAAUGGAAACUUAGAAUUCACUUAGAUUGCAGUAAUCAACUUUUAACACGAAGGGAAGAUUCAAGCAAUAUUUAGGGCCGAAUUCAAUGUUUUGGACCCUUUCUUCAACAAGCAACACUUUAAAACUCUUUUUCACAUAUUUUUCAACUCCUUUUCACAGCUCUUCUUCUUUUCAUUCUAUUUUUCAUGAAUCUUUCUUUUCUACUCAUGCCUUAUGAAUGAUUUUGGCAUACACACACACAAGAAUCACUUCCCCCACACUUGUUUUCUGCCAUACAUUAAUCAAAAGGAAUUCAAUUUGACUCAUACUUUACUAUGCUUCAAGAACAAGGGUAUGGAUGGUCCUAAACUAGGCUAGGUAAGGAUAAUGUGGUUUAACAAAGAAUGUAGGCUAUCAAGGCUCAGUGGGGUUAACUUAAACAUAUAACGAUAUGGGAUACAUGGCAGUUUGGCUUUGGUGGUGGUAACUACACAACUUCAUCUUGAAUAUGUGUUAUGCAAAUCAAUAGCAUGCUUUGAAUGAAAUAGGCAUGAGUUCUAGCAUUUGGAACUAAAUGAUGAAACGCCUUCUAAGUAAUAACCAAGCAAAGAAUAAUGAGAUCAUGCAACGACUUUAGAAAACAAGAAUGCACAGAUUUUAACUCUCCAAAUAAACGUUUAAGCUCAAGUCUCACAAGGUUGUAGCGUUAGUUUGAGUUCUUUCCUUCAAGCAUGUUACAAAAAAAACUAAUUUUUUUUUCUUUUAUGAUUACAUGUGAUUUCAUAAGUUAUAACCACAACCACGCAUAAAUAAAGAGUAAAUCAAACUUUCAUCCAUGUUUAUAACUCUCUUUAACAGUCAUGCAAUUACAAACCGAAUCCUCAUCAUUGUGUUGGAAGGUACCCUAAGACACAAAUAAGCACACAAAAACAACUCUUUUUGGGAUUUUCAAAAACAAUUUUUCAAAUUUUUAUGAAUUUUCGGAUUUUUAUAUCAAAACACACUGAAACACUCCAAAACAGCUUAAAAAUACUUAAAACAACAAGGAACAACACUAGAAGUAAUGGGUGAUAAUUUUCUACGAAUUUUAUGCAAAACACUAGUUACCCCCCCCACACUUAAAUCAAACAUUAUCCUCAAUGUUUCAAGUAUAUACUCACACAAAAAACAAGCAAAUAAACAAACGACAAAUAAACAUGACAAAUAUGGCAAAGUAAAAACCAGACAGAGUAGAGUUUAAGAACGCAAAUCUGGUUUUGGAGAUAGUUGAUCUUGUUGACUUUCCACAGCUUUGAUCUUGAACUGGAUUGGAAUUGUACGGCGAAGCUUUUCUCUUUGGCGAUGGUGCAAUUCCUUAUUUGUUCUCCAAGCAGAUGUGGCAGCUUCUCUAGUUCUUCAUCUCAGACUCCUUCCGCUGGGAUGAUUGUGCAAGCUGCAUUCUUCUCUGCUUGUUUCUUCUGCACGACGGGCAGGCACGAGGGAGAGGUGUUGGUCUGUUUCUUUCUUCAAUCUUUCCAAGUGCCCACCUCUUGCUUUCUUUCUCCUUGUCCCUAGUUGAGGAUGAAUCAGCACGUUGUCUCCACAUGCUUCGAGGUAUCAUCUUCACUUCCCUUAUACGUGAGAGACGAAGCGGAAGCACAAGAUGAUGAGUACUCGAGAGCAGGUGCUGGCUGGAGAAAGGACAGGGAGAAAGCAUGAUAUGAGAUACUCGUGCUCUCAACCUUUAUGAUAUGAAAUACUUGGGCUCUGGAUGGGUUGUUUGCAGGGGUAUCCCAGGGGAUGAAAAAUACAGAGUGACUCGAUAGGGUUUGUUGGAAAGCCAUUUCAGAGAGGAUGAAGGGUUAAGUGAGGCUGAAAGUUGGGUGAGACUGCUUCACUUUGAAGUUCAACAUUUAUAGAAUUUUCUUAAUGGCUGGGAAGGCAUUGUUCCAUUACUCGUGUCGGCAAGCUUGGGAUAAUUUAACAGUAGUUUCCACGUGCAUUCCGCUUCUCCAAAAAAAUUUCGACAGAUUGCGCGUGAUUUACGCAACGCAGAUGUGCAAAUUGACAGAUGCUGACACGUCUCGAUAAAGCAGAGGUCUCUUUAAUAUCCGGAAUUUACGCUUCGAGUUCUGAGCUUCGUUGAGGGCAGAGAUUGCAUGUGACAAGUGCUGACGAGGCUGAGAGAGACAGAUGGUUGGAAUCGGUGCUUCGACAGACUGCCCGUGAUUUUCGCAAACCUGAGUUGCGUGUGAUGGGUGCUGACGAGGGUGAGACAGUUGACACUCUUCGGUAUCUGGAAUUGGUGGUUUGUGAGCAAGCCCAACUUUUGAGAAAGCUGGCGCCUCUUCGAUCUCCGAAUGGCUUCUUCGAUUUCUGAGCUCACCUCUUCGAUCUCUGAAAUCCCAUCGCGUGCUGAUUUUUAUAGAGGUAUGCAGGACGUUCAAAGCACUCUUGAAUUUCUGCCUGUAAAAACUCCCGUUUUGCACUUCUACGAUCUUGACUUGUCCGAUCUCCUCUUUCUUUAACACCUCUGAAAAAAUGUCUGGCCCUUCCGACCGUCGUUUUGACUUGAACCUUAGUGAAGGAGCAGCCCCUCAUUCUCCAGACAACAUAUGGCACUCGUCCCUCAUAUCCCCUACUGGUCCUCUUACCGUUGGGGAUUCGGUGAUGAAAAAUGACAUGACCGCUGCGGUGGUGGCCCGGAACCUUGUCACCCUCAGAGAUAACAGACUGCUCGCUAGACGGUCUGAUGAAUUGGCAGUUAAGGAGUCUCUGGCUCUUAGCGUGCAGUGUGCGGGUUCUGUGUCCAACAUGGCCCAACGCCUAUUUGCUCGAACCCGUCACGUUGAAUCGUUGGCGGCUGAAAUACAGAGUCUCAAAGGAGAUUAGAGGACUCAAGCAUGAAAAUAAACAAUUGCACAAGCUUGCACACAAUUAUGCCACAAACAUGAAGAGGAAAAUUAACCAGCUGCAGGAAACUGAUGGUCAGAUUUUACUUGAUCACCGGAGGUUUGUGGGUUUGUUCCAACCGCAUCUGCCUUCGUCUUCUAGGGCGGCACCGCGUAGUGAAGCUCCAACUGAUCAACCUCCGAUACCUCCUCCUUCCGUGGCCCCACCGACUGCUGAGACUCCGCCGACUACUGCAACUCCGCCGACUACUACGACCUCUCCCAAGCAGCCUUUGUGAAGGCUCCCUCUUGUAUUAUGCUAUGUUUCUUUAUUUCCCAGUUUGCUGUUCAUUUCCACGAAGUUUAAUGUUAAAAUCCUUUGCAUAUUUGUUAAUGUUUCAAAAUAGAAAGUCACAACCAAAAAUAAUUAAACAAGUAAUAAAAUUGACAAUCAGGCAAAAUAAAAAUGCAAAAAAAAAAGGAAGGUUUUUAGAAACGCAAAACUGCUUGCGGGCGAUUCAAAAAAAAAAAAAAAAAAAAAAAAAAUCUUCCUCAUUUGAAUACAUGGGUUGCCUCCCAAGAAGCGCUUGCUUUAACGUCUUGCAGCCGGACGAUGCUUCCAUUCAAACUUCCCUAGGUCCCACGACAUGGAAUUGAUCCUUGAAUGGAAGGUGAUACUUGAAGUGAUCCGGCAAUGGUGUAGAUUCGAGAGUGGGUGCCUGAAUCAUUAACAAAAUGUAAGUAUAAAACGUAAUGGAAAUUGGAGUAGAUGACUUACUUUUUCGCUCCGUUACGAACUCAAGGAUGAACACCACUUCUUUGAAAGUUUCAGGGACUUUGAAUUUGGCCAGAUUUACUAUGAUGGGUGUGAUUUGUCUCGUGUCAUCAAUCUCAACUUCUUUGGGCUUUGUUGUUUCAAAUAUGUCUUCCUUGCUGAAUUCUUGACAUUCUCUAGCCACUUCUUUUUCUUGACUCCUUCUUCUUGGUGAACAAGGUUCUUUGAACACUUCAACAUAAUCUGGUACUUGAUUUGGUGUGCCAAGAAUUGGGAUAUCACUUUGCAUCUUUGGAAUGGCUUCCAGAAUGUCUUUUGCACUCUCUUCCUCCUUGGAAAUCAUGAACAUGCGAGAAAAAGAGACAUUUGGUGGAAUAGGGUUAGAAAGAAGUGAAUGUGGAAUAACAUUACCUGAAUUAGAUGGUGGUGGAGCUUUUAGGAGGCUGCGGCAAGGGUUGUUCUUCCUCCUCUUCUUCAAGCAUCAACUCCUCAUUCACUUCUAGGCUAUGUUUUAGACAUAUUGAGUUCAACUCUAACCUCUAUACCACUUCCCAAAGUGAUAGCUUCAGCGAUUUCAAAAUCUCCCCUUGGAUUGACAAUGGUUGAGUUGGAGAGUUCACUUUGUUCUUGAAUUUGUCCCAUGAAUUCCGCGAUCUCUCCCAUUUGAUUAUUCAAUUCACCCAACUUCUUGUCUUGAUUUUGUAGGUCCUGCGUCAAAGAGCUUAGUAAUUGAAGAAUGUGAUCACUAUCCAAAGACAUACCUGAAUUCGAUUGGAAUUGUUGUGGGGGAGGCUGUGGUGGAUGCAUCGGUGUUGUAUAGAACUCCUCAUAUGGCUGCCAAUAUUCUCCUUGUUGAGCCCUCUUGGCUUGAUUUUGUGAUCCCUGCGCCAAAGAAUUUAUUUCAUCAAAAAUUUUAUCAUAAUCUAUUGACGAACCUGAGUUUGGUUGGGUAUAUUGUAUAUGAGUUUGUUGUGGCUGCGCAGGGCUUGAAUAGAACUCAUUAUAUGGUUGCCAAUAUCCUUCGAGUUGAACUGGUUGAGGUUCCCACCACAUAGUGUUUGAAUGAUCACUCCAAUCUGAAUUAUACGUGUUGGAAAACAAGUUGUUCAUUGAUUGAUUAUGAUCAUGAUAACUCUCCCAAUUUCUUUGUGGAUGUUGAUCAGCUUGAUAUCCUUGCGUAUAGGACACAUCGAAUGUAGGGGUGCUUUGAAUUGUGGUCCUUUCGAUGUACUGUGACAAUUGAGAAGUAAGAUUUGUCAUUUGAGCUUGAAGAUUAGCAAUUGCCAUGUCUUACUUCUUUUAGUACCUGAUAUCAAAGAAAUAAAACUAAAUCAAAUAUCAAAAGUAACACAAAACAAAGAAAACAAAACUAAGUCAGAAACUAAAACAAAAACAACUAAACAAAAAGAAAAGACCCAAGGGUUUAGCAAAGUUGCUAAUCCCCGGCAACGGCGCCAAAAUUUGAUGUGAAAAAUAAGUUAACACACAAAAUUAAACCCUCUUUUUAUCAAAUGUAGUAAAGUAUGUAAGUAGGGAUCGUUCUAGGCCGGGGAUUAGGAGGGAUUGCUAAACACUUGAAAACUGACUUAAAAACAUAAAAACAAAAUUUAAAACACUAAACUAGACUCAAAGAAUGCAAAACUAUACUUUAAAAUACUUAAACAAACAUAAAACUCAAAACAGCAACCUAAUGACUCAAAACUGCCUAAAAACCACUUUCUGGGCAGUUUUGAGAACCUAACAAGAACUUGGACGAAGUUGGAUGAAAACUUGAAUCAAAACACUUAGAAACACAAAUCAAAAGACUUUCUAACUAAUCUAAGACUUCAAAAUAAAGGGGGAUUUGUUUUGGACGAAAAUUGAAAACAAAAAACAGACUUUAAAACAAAACAGAUUGUAAAACGUUUUGGGAUGAAAAGGAUGGAUAAAAGGCUAGUUAGGAGGUUCUUCUCCACACAUGACACACUUGCAAACAAAAUGAUUUUCAAUUGUUCUUUCAAUAAAUUAUGAAACUCAACACCCCAAGUUAAUUAGAUACGCUUAAAUUAACCUUCAAGUUCUCCUUAAGUUAAUGAAUUGGAUGGAAAAGCGCAUACAACAAUUCAAAGCAUUCCUCAAAGGUUCCUUACAUGAUGAGCACAAUAAAGAUACAAUCAAGAAUCAUGAAGCACAAUGAGAACUAUAAGUGUUGACGAGGCAUUCGUUACUAUGAUGAGCAUGAAACUAGUGCCAAGAAUUCAUUCAACGCGAUCGUUUUCAAACGACCUUCACUACUUGUGAUUAUAAGAUUGUAACUAUUAGGUGAAACUCCCUCAUAAUCUAGCAUCAUAUUCA
RNAcentral lists this long non-coding RNA (8904 nucleotides) under Malus domestica (apple). RNAcentral describes it as "long non-coding RNA (MDOM_LNC014629)". Lineage: Eukaryota; Viridiplantae; Streptophyta; Magnoliopsida; Rosales; Rosaceae. The record is from RNAcentral.